GGCAACGUGGCGGAGUGGUUAUCGCGACAGCCUCGAAUUCUCUCGUAAGCUGUUUCCUUCGGGAGCGCAGGUUCGAAUCCUGCCGUUGUCG
Molecule: transfer RNA, 91 nt
Filed under: Fusarium napiforme
Lineage: Eukaryota; Fungi; Ascomycota; Sordariomycetes; Hypocreales; Nectriaceae
Also listed under: 5 other names
Rfam family: tRNA
About the family: Transfer RNA (tRNA) molecules are approximately 80 nucleotides in length. Their secondary structure includes four short double-helical elements and three loops (D, anti-codon, and T loops).
Source: Rfam by way of RNAcentral